UCCUCUGUGUCUUUCAGUCCAGCAGUCGGCUGACCUGAUUUCUCCAAACCUGCGAAAUACUAGAGUCCUGCCCUCAUGAUACCCCUUCAGUCUGACACUAAAUAGCCACAUAGUUUCAGAGUGAGUAACUGCAGGGAGAAACGGAUCCAUAAAUGUGUCAAAUAGCACAUUCCUGGACUGCUGCAUUGUUGGGGGACUUUCCUGGCGGGGUAAUUACACAUGAAGCAUGUUCACGGCGGUCACUUCCAACUUUUCAGCAUUGCUUCUGGAUUUU
Molecule: long non-coding RNA, 274 nt
Organism: Salarias fasciatus (jewelled blenny)
Lineage: Eukaryota; Metazoa; Chordata; Actinopteri; Blenniiformes; Blenniidae
Exons: 3
Source: RefSeq, a predicted model, not a curated record